This 468-nucleotide ribosomal RNA is filed under the name uncultured bacterium. Its description in RNAcentral is "partial 16S ribosomal RNA". It matches the Rfam family "Bacterial small subunit ribosomal RNA", at positions 28 to 507 of the family's 1533-position model. The record is from RNAcentral.
GACGAACGCUGGCGGCGUGCUUAACACAUGCAAGUCGAACGGAAAGGCCCUGCUUUUGUGGGGUGCUCGAGUGGCGAACGGGUGAGUAACACGUGAGUAACCUGCCCUUGACUUCGGGAUAACUUCAGGAAACUGGGGCUAAUACCGGAUAGGAGCUCCUGCUGCGUGGUGGGGGUUGGAAAGUUUCGGCGGUUGGGGAUGGACUCGCGGCUUAUCAGCUUGUUGGUGGGGUAGUGGCUUACCAAGGCUUUGACGGGUAGCCGGCCUGAGAGGGUGACCGGCCACAUUGGGACUGAGAUACGGCCCAGACUCCUACGGGAGGCAGCAGUGGGGAAUAUUGCACAAUGGGCGGAAGCCUGAUGCAGCAACGCCGCGUGCGGGAUGACAGCCUUCGGGUUGUAAACCGCUUUCGCCUGUGACGAAGCGUGAGUGACGGUAAUGGGUAAAGAAGCACCGGCUAACUACGUG